GACGAACGCUGGCGGCGUGCCUAAUACAUGCCAGUAGAACGCUGAAGAGAGGAGCUUGCUCUUCUUGGAUGAGUUGCGAACGGGUGAGUAACGCGUAGGUAACCUGCCUUGUAGCGGGGGAUAACUAUUGGAAACGAUAGCUAAUACCGCAUAACAAUGGAUGACACAUGUCAUUUAUUUGAAAGGGGCAAUUGCUCCACUACAAGAUGGACCUGCGUUGUAUUAGCUAGUAGGUGAGGUAAUGGCUCACCUAGGCGACGAUACAUAGCCGACCUGAGAGGGUGAUCGGCCACACUGGGACUGAGACACGGCCCAGACUCCUACGGGAGGCAGCAGUAGGGAAUCUUCGGCAAUGGGGGCAACCCUGACCGAGCAACGCCGCGUGAGUGAAGAAGGGUUUCGGACCGUAAAGCUCUGUUGUAAGUCAAGAACGGGUGUGAGAGUGGAAAGUUCACACUGUGACGGUAGCUUACCAGAAAGGGACGGCUAACUACGUG
RNAcentral lists this ribosomal RNA (497 nucleotides) under uncultured bacterium. RNAcentral's name for it is "partial 16S ribosomal RNA". It matches the Rfam family "Bacterial small subunit ribosomal RNA", at positions 28 to 507 of the family's 1533-position model. The record is from RNAcentral.